RNAcentral lists this long non-coding RNA (1098 nucleotides) under Mytilus galloprovincialis (Mediterranean mussel). The record is from RNAcentral. Lineage: Eukaryota; Metazoa; Mollusca; Bivalvia; Mytilida; Mytilidae.
CGCAAAUUGUAAGGUAACCCAGGUGCUUCGGAUAAGUAAUUGAGCAAAUCUUUUAAGGCCUUUGAAACAAGACAAAAGUAGAACUGAAGGUUAUACAGUGCUAUGGAUCAGAAAACAGUUCAUAUAAUAUAAUACUCUUCUGUUGAAAUAUAUGAUAAAGUGUAUAAUACAUGUCAAAAUCCGUAUCACAUGCCGUAUCACCCUCGACCAAUAUCAUCCCUCGGGCCUAAAGGCCCUUGGGCUGAUAUUGAUGUCUCGGGAUGAUACGACAUAUGAUACGGAUUUUGCCAUGUAUUAUUCUCUAUGUAUUGAAUGAGGAUGUCGAGACUGCCAACAAAAAUUAUUUAUAGGGUUGAAUAAAUCUAGGCUGCUGUUUUGGUGCUCUAUUGCAAUGCAUCUUCAAUAAUAUGGCUUGAUUAUAUUAUACUAGCAUGUUUUUCUUUUUUGCUUCAAAUUUUUAUUUAUUAUUGAAAAAAGUAUCUUGUAUAUGAUCAUGUUAUUUCUAUAAUUGUUUUUAAGAUAAAUUAUGGAAUUCAUUGUAAUUGAUUGCAUUUAAAAUAUUAGUUGUCAUAAUGUUAUAUUUCAUGUGCUCUACUGAUUGCAAAUACAUUAAUUUUUGGUGAAUUUUAUCAAAUAAAAAUUAUAUGCCACUUCUUUGAAGCUGAUACUUCUUAAUUGUAUGUAUGUCCUGAAUUUGAAUUUUGUAGGUAUUUAAAUAUUUCAGGAGCUCCUUAGAUAGUAUAUUCUUGACUAAAUCUACACCUCACAAUUUUUUUUAAAAGAUGAUAGAAAAAGGGAAAAUAUUUAUUUCUUGACAAUAACCUCAAAAGAUGAGUCAAGAUUUGUAUGAAAUGUAACAAUUUUCUUUGCACACCUUACCCAGAAAAAAAUGGCCUAUGUAUAUUGUGCACAAUAUUUUCUUUCUUUUUGUUGUGAAUGAGAACAGGAUAGAAAAUACCAAUGGAUUGUAUUGUUUAUAUGUAUGAUGUAAUGCCAAGAGGCAAUAUGUAAUGUUAAAUUUCUGUUGGGUUUAACCUGUACUUGAGGCAAGAUAAAAUAUAUUCGUAGGCUAUUAUUCUUUGUGUUAUAUUUUUUUUC